AUAUGCGAUCAUACUAGCACUAGUGCACCGAAUUCUAUCUCAACUACUAAACUAAGCAUGUUUAAGCGAGAGUAGUAUUAGAAUGAGUCAUUUCCUGGGAAGUCUUUGUGCUACAUUCC
This 119-nucleotide ribosomal RNA is filed under the name Ipomoea nil (Japanese morning glory). The record is from RNAcentral. Lineage: Eukaryota; Viridiplantae; Streptophyta; Magnoliopsida; Solanales; Convolvulaceae.